RNAcentral lists this ribosomal RNA (253 nucleotides) under uncultured bacterium. RNAcentral describes it as "partial 16S ribosomal RNA". It matches the Rfam family "Bacterial small subunit ribosomal RNA", at positions 524 to 776 of the family's 1533-position model. The record is from RNAcentral.
GACAGAGGGUGCAAACGUUGUUCGGAUUUACUGGGCGUAAAGGGCGCGUAGGCGGCGCGGUAAGUCACUUGUGAAAUCUCUGAGCUUAACUCAGAACGGCCAAGUGAUACUGCAGUGCUAGAGUGUGGAAGGGGCAAUCGGAAUUCUUGGUGUAGCGGUGAAAUGCGUAGAUAUCAAGAGGAACACCUGAGGUGAAGACGGGUUGCUGGGCCAAAACUGACGCUGAGGCGCGAAAGCCAGGGGAGCAAACGGG